AGAGUUUGAUCCUGGCUCAGGAUGAACGCUAGCGGCAGGCUUAAUACAUGCAAGUCGAGGGGCAGCAGUCCCGCAGCAAUGCGGGAGCUGGCGACCGGCAAACGGGUGCGGAACACGUACGCAACCUUCCUUUAAGUGGGGAAUAGCCCAGGGAAACUUGGAUUAAUACCUCGUAAUAUUUGAGAGUGGCAUCACUCUUUAAUUAUAGCUCCGGCGCUUAAAGAUGGGCGUGCGACUGAUUAGGUAGUUGGCGGGGUAACGGCCCACCAAGCCUGCGAUCAGUAACUGGUGUGAGAGCACGACCAGUCACACGGGCACUGAGACACGGGCCCGACUCCUACGGGAGGCAGCAGUAAGGAAUAUUGGUCAAUGGACGCAAGUCUGAACCAGCCAUGCCGCGUGGAGGAUGAAGGUCCUCUGGAUUGUAAACUUCUUUUAUCUGGGAAGAAACCCACAUUAUCCAGUGUGGUUGACGGUACCAGAUGAAUAAGCACCGGCUAACUCCGUGCCAGCAGCCGCGGUAAUACGGAGGGUGCAAGCGUUAUCCGGAUUCACUGGGUUUAAAGGGUGCGUAGGCGGGUUGGUAAGUCCGUGGUGAAAUCCCCCAAGCUUAACUUGGGAACUGCCGUGGAUACUAUCAAUCUUGAAUAUCGUGGAGGUAAGCGGAAUAUGUCAUGUAGCGGUGAAAUGCUUAGAUAUGACAUAGAACACCAAUUGCGAAGGCAGCUCGUUACACGAAGAUUGACUCUGAGGCACGAAAGCGUGGGGAUCAAACAGGAUUAGAUACCCUGGUAGUCCAC
This 800-nucleotide ribosomal RNA is filed under the name uncultured bacterium. RNAcentral's name for it is "bacterial SSU rRNA". It matches the Rfam family "Bacterial small subunit ribosomal RNA", at positions 8 to 798 of the family's 1533-position model. The record is from RNAcentral.